Molecule: ribosomal RNA, 205 nt
Filed under: uncultured bacterium
Lineage: Bacteria
Description: partial 16S ribosomal RNA
Rfam family: Bacterial small subunit ribosomal RNA
Source: RNAcentral
CGUAGGCGGUUUGUUAAGUCAGCUGUGAAAGCCCCGGGCUCAACCUGGGAACUGCAGUUGAUACUGGCCGACUAGAGUACGAGAGAGGGAGGUAGAAUUCCACGUGUAGCGGUGAAAUGCGUAGAUAUGUGGAGGAAUACCGGUGGCGAAGGCGGCCUCCUGGCUCGAUACUGACGCUGAGGUGCGAAAGCGUGGGGAGCAAACA